Molecule: long non-coding RNA, 591 nt
Organism: Cornus florida
Lineage: Eukaryota; Viridiplantae; Streptophyta; Magnoliopsida; Cornales; Cornaceae
Exons: 3
Source: RefSeq, a predicted model, not a curated record
AAAACUAACAUGUAACCAAGUUUUGUGACCAACCAAUCUCUAAAAUUUGUAAAUAUAAGUAAAUCAUUUGUUUUCCUUAUUUUUCAAGUUGUGUAAUUGAAAUGGCAGUGUAAAAAAAAAUGUAAAAUUAAACAAAACUAAAUUACCAGAAACAGUAGAAUUUAAUAAAGAACGAGUUCGUCUAUGAUGUGCUUUUUAGGUUCGCACUAAAGUGAAUUUGAUGAUGUAAGUUGAAGUACAGAACGUCGACCGGAGCUCCGGUGGACACGGUCAAUUCCAUCCUACGCCGUCCGACCGUUAUGUACUUUUGAGAGGCUAGGUUUCCGAUUGGGGUUAAAUCGCAUCUGAAUUGGGGCAAAACCGGAGCUCUAUCUGCGGAUACGGUCAGUACUCGUUCCAAGGUUGAGGUUAGCAGUGUGGGACCACCAUCCGAACUCAUCUACUCUUACGAUCCAGUUCAGGGUAGAAGUUUUAUGUAUUACUUCAGUUUCAGUUUUUAUUUACUUUUGACGUUGAACUCUCAGGUUUAUAUUUAGGGAUCCUUGACAUAGGAUUUCUAAGUUGUAAUGGAGUACUGUAUUAAGUAAAGGA